CAAAUAGUAGCUUAAAAUAAAGCAUUCAGCUUACAAUUGAAAUAUGUUAGUGAAACUCUAACCUUUUUGA
This 70-nucleotide transfer RNA is filed under the name Scincus scincus (sandfish skink). RNAcentral's name for it is "tRNA-Val". It matches the Rfam family "tRNA". From Rfam's summary of the family: Transfer RNA (tRNA) molecules are approximately 80 nucleotides in length. The record is from RNAcentral. Lineage: Eukaryota; Metazoa; Chordata; Lepidosauria; Squamata; Scincidae.